RNAcentral lists this non-coding RNA (23 nucleotides) under Cricetulus griseus (Chinese hamster). The record is from RNAcentral. Lineage: Eukaryota; Metazoa; Chordata; Mammalia; Rodentia; Cricetidae.
AAGAGCGUUUGAAAGCAGGACUU